Molecule: long non-coding RNA, 3923 nt
Organism: Tympanuchus pallidicinctus (lesser prairie-chicken)
Lineage: Eukaryota; Metazoa; Chordata; Aves; Galliformes; Phasianidae
Exons: 7
Source: RefSeq, a predicted model, not a curated record
GAGGGCGGGCGGCCGGAAAGGGCAGUGAGGCUUUGCCAGGAAAUGGCGUCGUAGGGGUGCAGCUUUGGGACCAGGAACUCCAGUUGGAAAGAUGUAGGUCAGCAAGGACAAGUGCCAAAUACAGGAAGAAAGGAAGUCAUUUUGUCAGAAAUUGUGCCAAGAUUUUCAUAAAGUAAAUUAAAUCCUGGAGAUGUUCCAGAAGGCAAUCAAAGUUUGGCUAUGUGACCAUCAGCAACAAUAGUGGUGAAUAUAAAGUGAGGAAAGGCCUUCAAGAUUUGAAGUUUUUUCCAAGUGGGAUGAUGACGUGAAAGGAAAACUGCAUGAAACAUUAGUAAACAGAUGGCAUCAUUUCAUCUCAUGCUCUGAAAGUGACAAGUUACACUGUGGCACUGACUUUAUUGUAUUAGCCUGUGCUGGCUGUGCUGAAUUUAUAAACCAUGGAGCAACUUUCUUUGGCUCUAUCUCGCACAACAGAAGGUGAAGUAAGAAAACACUGGGAAACUAAUUGACUUUUCAAGAGAAUCAUCUUUUUGGGUUGAUUUGGAAGGUUGAAGGAGGAGCCAAGAUAACAAAAAUCUAUUUCAAGCAAAUGCAGUUGUCUGCCAGGUCAACACUGGACCAGCCAGACUCUGUGAUAAUAAGAACAAUAUGAAACAGAAUUUGAAUUAAUGUUACCUUGCCUUUCAGUAGGUUUAUUGACUUGAAUGUUGUAUUAUGUCUUAAUCAAUGUGUAUGUAUUAUGUCUUAAUCAAUGUGGAUUCUAGUUGAUUUGUAGUUGAAAGUGCUACAAAAGCAGAAAAGCUACAAAGUGCUUUUCAGACAUAUUCAUAGGCUUGCCAAUAGCAGAGCCACAGGCAAAUAAUGUUCUUAUUGAAUGAAAAUAGGAGGAGAUAGAGUUCCAAACUUCUAGAAAAAGCAGACCCGAGAAACUAUUAGACCAACACUGUGAGAAGAUAAGCAAUUUCAAUUUAUAUGUGUUAUUAAGGUAUUCUAUUGAUAUACGUUAUAUCAUUUAAUACAUGCUAUUAAAAUGCUUUUAAAUGGGUAGAUGAGUUCACCAAUGAAAAUUCUGGAACAGAGCAGUCCAUUGUUUCUAAGUUAACUUGAUAGUCAGGUUAGAAUUUGUGGGGACUAGAGGGCAGUCUUUUAAAACUGUAUUUGUUCAGUAAUCAUUAAAUUAAUUUUACCUAGAUGUUAUAAACAGUGGUUCAGUGCUAUCACUAUCACCAGGCAAAGAACUGAUUAUGCCAGGUCCAUCAACUCACCACAGUAAUCAAAUUGAAACUUGUCCGCAAAGCAAGGUUAUAUCUAAAGCUUUUUGAAACAGGAGUUCAUGGUGUGCAUCUAGUUAAAUCUACCUAUAUAACCUUGUAUGGAUUCCACCAUUUAUGAGAAAAGAGGUGUGUCGCAUGGAUGUUGGCUUCCCAGCUGACUUCUAAAGUAAGAAAACAGCAGUGAUUCAUGAACUUGGCAGGGAUUCUUUCAAGUAUGAGAUUAUUAAAAAAUAUGUACUACUUUAGAUACUGUAUUUCAUACUAAUAUUUCAAGCAUUUAGAGUUUUGUUGUUAUAAAUACGUUGCAGGAGAAAUUAAGUUUAUUAAUGUAGAAAAUGUCCAUGUAGAAAACAUACUCUUUAUUGGCCCUCUUUCUUAAUAUAUGUGUUCAAAGUUCUCAUUUCACUGUUUAAUUGCUUUGAACAAUAUGUAAAAAAUAGUAUUUUAUGUGGCUUAGUCAACUGAUUUACGAGUAAGCAUUCUUUCAGCUGUAGGUAUUAAAAAGUACUCAGAUGAAAGAGGUAAAAUGUGCAAGCCUAGCCUUUCUGUCUUUGAGGACAGAGACCAAACCUAAAUGUAAUAGAAGACAUUGAUAAAAUGUUUGUUCAGUGACACAUGAUGGCUUUAUAGCAGUCGUAGCAAUAAAUCCAGUGGGACAGAAUUUAAAAUAUAUUUUAUCAAGUUCUUCAUAAUUAGAUAUAAUCCUGAAAUAAAACCAAUCUAUAUUUGUAAAUAUGGAUUAGAAGCAUGAAAGUGCUGCUUAUUGUCAACAUUUAGACUGGGUAGUUUCUACACUGGCAGAUCUAGUUGGAACUUUGAGAUGAACCUAUUCCAGUUAUUUCCUUACAGUAAGUUCUUCAAAGAUAAAAAGGCUUUUAAAUCAGGAAAAUCCGGGACAUGCAUUGAAUAUCCAUUGAAAUGCCUAAGUCUUUAAAUGUAUGUAAGAUAAAGCACAACUGGAAGACAUACAUCUGUGUUCCCUCUGCCUCUUCUGCAUCCUUUAGGGGCAGGUUCUUUCUCCCAAUCAUAGCUUCACUCAACUUAUUAUUCAUUUUGAACAGGAGAAAACCACACAGCCAGGUCUGGCUGCAUCUUCUGUAUUCCCAAGAAGGGGAAGGUACAGUCUCCUUUUGAGCUCCUUUUGUAGUUGUCUAUUUCUCAGCACUGCCCUGUGUCAUGCUUCCUCUCUAUAUCACAUAGUUCUGAGCAUUCUUACUGUUUCCCAAGUCUUUCGUCUUUUCAUGGUGCAUAGUGCAGGCAUUCAGAACAAGUCAAUAUGUAACGGAUGAUGACAGUGAAAUUUUGAAGGUGCAUUUUAAAUUUCAGAAAUGAACUUGAAACUGGACAUGUUAGACAAAUAGAAAAAUGAGAUAGAUCAGUUUCUCCUCUGUGGAAACAGAUACUGUCUACAGGGAGACCUUGGUCUCACUUCUUAGUAGAUCUGAAACAGAAGGGAGACAAGACAAAUUGGUCAGGGAGUGCUUUAGCAGAAUUCUGAAAUAAAAAUAAUGCACUGGGUGGGAGUACUUUUUGCAUUGCAAAUAGUUUGAAACAGUCUUAGUUUUUCGGCCAACUUUAUACAUAAUUGUGAAUCUAAGAUGUUCUUGGCAUGUUUCAGCUUCUGUCUUGUUAGAAGAUGUUAGCUCCCUCCAAGCUGUUUUAUUUUAGUCUGGUUGCUGUGACAGCCACAAGGCAAAAUUCAGCUGUUCUGGGAAGAGGGUCAGGUGCUGGCCUGCUGCUAUGAAAGUGGAAAGGGUGUGGGGAAUUGGUCAAGUAGAAUAGAGAACUGCAGGGGAAAAAUAGAGAGGGGAAAAUAGAACAACAUAAAAGCUACAGAAUUAAACUUGUGCUAUGAACAGAAUGAGCGCUGAUUGUUGCUUGUGGAAGAGUCUCGUUGCUUCAGCAGAACUGAGCUAUGGUACCCUGACCUAUCCCUGUUAACAGCAGCAGCAGCACCAACCUGAUGCUGUGAUUGAGAAAAGGAGCCCUUUGCUCUUCUGUUACACAGCAGCAGUCUAUGCCCUAGGUGCUUAAUUUCAGUGCUUUCAACAGAGAUGUGUAUAGCAUAGUGUAGAAAGUACAGAGGCUUCAUCUUGGCCUACCAAAGGGUUUGGUUCUGAUUUAUCCUGUGGGCAUAUACUUUUAACUGCACAUCACCAGUCGUGUUAAAAACUUAAUGUCCAUUACCAUUAAGAUGUUAGAAGACAAUUGAUAAACCUCUCAAAUGAAUGUAUAUAGUAAAACAAAUUAAAAUGAGUUCUAUGAAUUCAGUUAAAGUGUUUUUUAUCUUUAAAUGUAAAAGCUCUUAUUGUACUUUUUUUUUUUAAUACUUUGUGUUCUACUAUUUCAUGUACUUCAUCUGUACAACACGGUUCUGUGUUAGGGUGGAGGCUGGUCACAAGCAGUGUCCCUCAGUGGUCCGUCUUGAAACCAGUGUUCUUCAAUGUCUUCAUCAAUGACAUAGAUGAUGACAUCGAGUGCACCCUCAGCAAGUUUGCAGAUGAGUCCAAGCUGAGUGGUGCAAUCAAUACAUUGCAGGGAAGGGAAGCCAUCCAGAGGGACCUGGAUAGGCUGAAGAAGUGACCCCCCCCUGAAAACCUGAUGAGGUUCAGUAAGGUGAACUGCUGGGUACUGCUCUUGGGUUGGGGC